This 864-nucleotide ribosomal RNA is filed under the name Bacillus halotolerans. RNAcentral's name for it is "bacterial SSU rRNA". It matches the Rfam family "Bacterial small subunit ribosomal RNA", at positions 83 to 931 of the family's 1533-position model. The record is from RNAcentral. Lineage: Bacteria; Bacillati; Bacillota; Bacilli; Caryophanales; Bacillaceae.
UCCCUGAUGUUAGCGGCGGACGGGUGAGUAACACGUGGGUAACCUGCCUGUAAGACUGGGAUAACUCCGGGAAACCGGGGCUAAUACCGGAUGCUUGUUUGAACCGCAUGGUUCAAACAUAAAAGGUGGCUUCGGCUACCACUUACAGAUGGACCCGCGGCGCAUUAGCUAGUUGGUGAGGUAAUGGCUCACCAAGGCAACGAUGCGUAGCCGACCUGAGAGGGUGAUCGGCCACACUGGGACUGAGACACGGCCCAGACUCCUACGGGAGGCAGCAGUAGGGAAUCUUCCGCAAUGGACGAAAGUCUGACGGAGCAACGCCGCGUGAGUGAUGAAGGUUUUCGGAUCGUAAAGCUCUGUUGUUAGGGAAGAACAAGUACCGUUCGAAUAGGGCGGUACCUUGACGGUACCUAACCAGAAAGCCACGGCUAACUACGUGCCAGCAGCCGCGGUAAUACGUAGGUGGCAAGCGUUGUCCGGAAUUAUUGGGCGUAAAGGGCUCGCAGGCGGUUCCUUAAGUCUGAUGUGAAAGCCCCCGGCUCAACCGGGGAGGGUCAUUGGAAACUGGGGAACUUGAGUGCAGAAGAGGAGAGUGGAAUUCCACGUGUAGCGGUGAAAUGCGUAGAGAUGUGGAGGAACACCAGUGGCGAAGGCGACUCUCUGGUCUGUAACUGACGCUGAGGAGCGAAAGCGUGGGGAGCGAACAGGAUUAGAUACCCUGGUAGUCCACGCCGUAAACGAUGAGUGCUAAGUGUUAGGGGGUUUCCGCCCCUUAGUGCUGCAGCUAACGCAUUAAGCACUCCGCCUGGGGAGUACGGUCGCAAGACUGAAACUCAAAGGAAUUGACGGGGGCCCGCACAAGCG